AGAGUUUGAUCCUGGCUCAGGACGAACGCUGGCGGCAUGCUUCAUACAUGCAAGUCGCACGAGCUUCCGUUGAAUGACGUGCUUGCACUGAUUUUAACAAUGAAGCGAGUGGCGAACUGGUGAGUAACACGUGGGAAAUCUGCCCAGAAGCAGGGGAUAACACUUGGAAACAGGUGCUAAUACCGUAUAACAACAAAAUCCGCAUGGAUUUUGUUUGAAAGGUGGCUUCGGCUAUCACUUCUGGAUGAUCCCGCGGCGUAUUAGUUAGUUGGUGAGGUAGAGGCCCACCAAGACGAUGAUACGUAGCCGACCUGAGAGGGUAAUCGGCCACAUUGGGACUGAGACACGGCCCAAACUCCUACGGGAGGCAGCAGUAGGGAAUCUUCCACAAUGGACGAAAGUCUGAUGGAGCAAUGCCGCGUGAGUGAAGAAGGGUUUCGGCUCGUAAAACUCUGUUGUUAAAGAAGAACACCUUUGAGAGUAACUGUUCAAGGGUUGACGGUAUUUAACCAGAAAGCCACGGCUAACUACGUGCCAGCAGCCGCGGUAAUACGUAGGUGGCAAGCGUUGUCCGGACUUAUUGGGCGUAAAGCGAGCGCAGGCGGUUUUUUAAGUCUGAUGUGAAAGCCUUCGGCUUAACCGGAGAAGUGCAUCGGAAACUGGGAGACUUGAGUGCAGAAGAGGACAGUGGAACUCCAUGUGUAGCGGUGGAAUGCGUAGAUAUAUGGAAGAACACCAGUGGCGAAGGCGGCUGUCUAGUCUGUAACUGACGCUGAGGCUCGAAAGCAUGGGUAGCGAACAGGAUUAGAUACCCUGGUAGUCCAUGCCGUAAACGAUGAGUGCUAAGUGUUGGAGGG
Molecule: ribosomal RNA, 857 nt
Filed under: uncultured bacterium
Lineage: Bacteria
Description: bacterial SSU rRNA
Rfam family: Bacterial small subunit ribosomal RNA
Source: RNAcentral